AUGGAAUCCAUCAUCAUUUAUUUUGGACUAAUACAAACAUGUCAAAGCAGUAUUGCCAAUGAAUACCCAUUUGUGUUUUCCUCCCUAUUGCCCUUCAUUCCCUGCUUCCCUCUUCCCCCCCCUUCCCUUUUUCCCUUCCCUCCCUCCUUGCCUCCCUGCCUUCCUCCAAUCCUCCUCUUCCUAUGUUCCUCCUCUUCCUCCCUCCUCUGCCUUCCUCCCUUCCAUCCUAUCUUCCUCCCUUCCUACCCCUCUUAUGUCCCUCCUCUUCCUCCCUCCUCUGCCUUUCUCCCUUCUGUCCCCUCAUCCUCUUCCAUCCCCUCUCCUUCCCUUCUCUGCCUCCCUCUUCCUCCCCUUCCUCCCUCCGCUCCUUUCCAUCCUUCCUCUUCCUCCCUCUCUUCCGCCGCUCCUCUUCCUCCCUCCUUUGCCUUCCACCCUUCCUCCCCUCUUCCUCCCCUCUUCCUCCCCUCUUCCUCCCCUCUUCCCUCCUCUUCCUCCCUCCUCUGCCCCCCUCUUCCUUCCGUCCCUCCUCUUCCUCCCUCCUGUGCCUUCCUCCCUUCCGUCUCCUCUUCCUCCCUUCCUCUGCCUUCCUCCCUUCUGUCCCCUCUUCCUCCCUCUCUUCCGCCCCUCCCCUUCCUCCCUCCACUCCCUUCCUUUCCUCCUCUGCCUCCAUCCCUUCCAUCCCCUUUCUCCCUCCAGUCCCCUCUUACGUCCCAUCUCUUCCUCGCUCCCUUCCCUCCUCUUCCUCCAUCUCUUCCUCCUCUUCCUCCCUCCUCUGCCUCCCACCCUUCCAUCCCCUCUUCCUUCUCUCCUCUUCCUCGCUUCUGUCCCCACUUCCUCCCUCCUCUUCCUCCCUCUCCUCCAUCCCCUCUUCCCUCAUGUCCCUCUUCUUCCUCCCUCCUCUGCCUAUGUCCGUCCUCUGCCUCCCUCUCUUCCUCUCUUCUGCCCCUUGUCUUCCUUCCUUCCAUCCCCUCUUACGUCCCUCCUCUUCCUCCCUCUUUCCAUCCCCUUUCUCCCUCCCGUCCCCUCUUUCAUCCCUCCUUUCUCCCUCUCUUCUAUCCCUCCUCUUCCUCCCUCCCUUCCUUCCCUCCUCUGCCUUCCUCCCCUCCGUCCCCUUCUUCCCUUCUCUGCCUCCCUCUCUUCCUCCCUCCACUCUCUUCCUUCCCUCCUCUUCCUCCAUCCUCCUCCUUCCUCCCUUCUGUCCCCUCAUCCUCUCUUCUGUCCGCUCUUCUUCCCUUGCCUUCCCCUCUUCCUCCCUCCUCUGCCUCCCACCCUUCCGUCCCCUUUCUCCCUACCAUUCCCUCUUACGUCUCUCCUCUUCCUCCCUCCUGCCUUUCUCCCUUCUGUCCCCUCUUCCUCCUUCCAUCCCCUCUUCUGCCCUUCUUUCCUCCUUCUGUUCCCCUUCUUUGCCUCCCUCCUGCCUCCUUCUCUCCCCCCCUCCUUUACUUCUUUCUUCCCUCUUCUCCAUCCAGUCUUCCUUCUGUCCCUACCCUCCCCUUCCUUCCUUCCUCCCUCCCCUCUCCCUCUCCUCCCUCAUUCCCUUCCCUCCAUAGCUUCUUCCCUCCCUUCCUUCCCAUCUUCCAUCCCCGCCUCCCUCUCUUUCCUCUUCCCUCUCCAUCCCCUCUUCCUUCCGUCUCUCCCUGCCUCCCUCCCCUGUCUCCUCCAUCCCAUCCUUCCCUCCCUCUGCUCCAUCCCUUCUUCCUUCCUCCCCUUCCUCNCCUCUUCUGCCUCCCUCUUUCGUCCCUUCUCUUCCUCCCUUCUCUGCCUUCCUCCCUUCCAUACCCUCUUCCUCUCUAUGUCCCGCCUCUGUCUCUUUUGUCCCUCCUCCUCCUCCCUCAUCUGCCUCCCUCUUUCAUACCAUCUUCCCCCUUCCGUCCCCUCUUCCUCCCUUCUGUCCCAUCUUCUUCCCUCUCUUUUGUCCCUCCUCUUCCUCCAUCCUCUGCCUUCCUCCCUUCUGUCCUCUCAUCCUCUCUUCCAUCCCCUCUUCUUCCCUUCUCUGCCUCCCUCUCUUCCUCCCUCCACUUCCUCCCCUUCCUCCACUCCGUUCCAUCCUUCUUCCUCCCUCUCUUCUGCCGCUCCUCUUCCUCCCUCCUUUGCCUCUCACCCUUCCAUCCCCUCUUCCUCCUUCCGUCCCAUCUUCCUUUUUCCCUCUUCGUCCUCCCUCCUCUGCCCCCCUCUUCCUUCCAUCCCUCCUGUUCCUCCCUCCUGUGCCUUCCUCCCUUCCGUCUCCUCUUCCUUCCUUCCUCUUCCUCCCUUUCUCCCCUCCUCUGCCUUCCUCCCUUCUGUCCCCUCUUCCUCCCUCUCUUCUGCCCCUCCCCUUCCUCCCUCUACUCCCUUCCUUUCCUCCUCUGCCUCCAUCCCUUCUCCCUCCAGUCCCCUCUUACGUCCCAUCUCUUCCUCCCUCCCUUCCCUCCUCUUCCUCCAUCUCUUCAUCCCUCCUCUGCCUUCCUCCCCUCCGUCCCCUUCUUCCUUCUCUUUUUCCUCCCUUCCGUCCCCUUUCUCCCUCCUCUGCCUCCCUCUUCCUUCCGUCCCUCCUCUUCCUCCCUCCUCUGCCUUCCUCCCUUCUGUCCCCUCUUCCUCCUAACGUCCCCUGUUCCUCCCUGCUCUUCCUCCCUCCCUACCGUCCCUUCUUCCUCCUCCCUUCCAUCCCUGCUCUUCAUCCCUCCCUCCCCUCCUCUUCCUCCCUUCCAUCCCCUCUUGCUCCCUCCUCUUCCUUCCUCUGCCUUCUUCCCUUCUGUCCCCUCUUCCUCCCUCCUCUGCCUCCCUCUUCCAUCCCCUCUUCCCGCUUCCGUCCCCUCUUCCUCCCUCCUCUGCCCCCUUCUUCCUUCCAUCCCUCCUCUUCCUCUGCUUUCCUCCCUUCCAUCCUCUCUUCCUCCCUCUUAUGUCCCUCCUCUUCCUCCCGUCCCCUCUUCCUUCCCUCCUCUGCCUCCCUCUCUUCCGCCCCUCCCCUUCCUCCCUCCACUCCCUUCCUUUCCUCCUCUGCCUCCAUCCCUUCCAUCCCCUUUCUCCCUACCAUCCCCUUACAUCCCACCUCUUCCUCCCUCCUCUCCUCUUCCUCCAUCUCUUCCUCCUUCCUCUGCCUUCCUCCCCUCUGUCCCCUCUUCCUCCUAA
Molecule: long non-coding RNA, 3108 nt
Organism: Coturnix japonica (Japanese quail)
Lineage: Eukaryota; Metazoa; Chordata; Aves; Galliformes; Phasianidae
Source: Ensembl